UCACUCCUCCACCCAUUUGCAGCCGCCACCCCACCUCCCCCAUCAAACCCUAGCCACCCCCUCCUCAAGCCCUUCUCUCCAAGGUGCCAUUCCUUUCCCGCUCGGAUCUACGUCGCGUUGGUGCAUGUCUCCAAUUGGAUUUUGGUGGAGGGAAGAAGAAGGGAGGAAAGGGGGAGGAUUCAAGGUGAUUUUGAGAUUGUAUCUUGUUUAAUUGUGUUGUAAUCCAAUUGAUUAUAUGUUUACCUAUCCGAAUCGGUAGAGGUGCUGUCCUGAAAUUUUGUGGGUGGGCGAACAGCAGUAGUUCUAGGGAUUUUUGGGAAUUUUUCGUGGGUAAUUAGUGGGGAUCAGUGGGUGAAUCAUGUAGAGCUUUGUCAUACCUUUCCAACGGGUACUUAUGCGCUCGAUUCGGAGUUAUAAUUUAGGAGAUAUCGUUGUUUGAAUCCGGUUAUGUUGCUGUCCAAAAAAACAGAUUUUCAGGUGGGUGAACAGCAGUAGUAUUAGCAGUUUCUGGGUAUUUUUCGUGGGUAAUUAGUGUUAACCAGUAUGAUAAUAAUGUAGGGCUUUGUCUUAUCUUUCCAAUGAGUACUUAUGCGCUUGAUUUGGAAUUAUAUUUUAAAAGAUAUCGCUGUUUGAAUCCGGGUAUGUCGCUGUCCAAAAGACAAAAAAACAGAUUACAGGGUUCAUCUUGUGGACUGUUUUGGGCUAAUUAGAUGUUGGAAUUUAAUUAUAAAUUGUGUACAAAACUUGUGGGGAAUUUUAUGUAGAUGCCUCUGGAGUUUUUGUUUGUUACCACUGCUGUCAUAAUUUUAAAGUUAUGAAAUUAUUAAGCAGCCCCACUGCAGUUUGGUGGGUGUGGGGAGAGAUGUAACCCGCGGCGGGGUUUAAGUUUGUGCGUAGGUGCGGCGUCGCUUAUGAGCCUGAUUAUGUGAAAUUGGUGCACUAAGUUGUGUGUCAAAAACAGGUGGUGGACUUCCGGAUCGUACUUAGGGAUUUGCGCGAACUUCCGGUAAAGGCAAGUAAAUACAGUGGUGGUUGCUACCGUUUGGUUUGCAUCCUAUUCCCUGUCAUUGAGUAUGCAUAAGUUUUAAUUAUGUUAAUCAUUGAAUUCUAUGAUGAAGUUUAUUUGUUUGGAAGUAUUAAUUCUCAAUUGUCUAAUAUUGUGGAUGAUCAUAAUUUGAUAAUGAUAUAUGUGGUUGAUUCCCAUCUUGGAUGAAGUUGAAGUAUCUUUUUGAAUCACGUUAUAUGAAGUGUUGUAGGCAUGACAUGCACAUCGCAUCAUCCAUCUUGCAUUUUGAAGUUAUGUCGUGAUCUUAUGGUCCGACCGUACCGGUACAUUUUUAGCAUCGUACGUUGCCCGAGGAGGGGUACGAUGCGGCUUCAUAUCCUUAGAGGUAUGAAGGCAGAAGUCAUUCUUGCAUUUGCAGACAUUUACACUCAUGAGGUAUAUAUAUAUGAAGUGUGACAUUACUAUGUUACUAUUGUGGUUUCUACCUGCGAGGUGUGGUGACUAGGUGUGUUGUACGUUGUAUACAUGUUGCACCUUCGUAAUAAGAAGGUUGUGGAAUCAAGUGGUGGUAAAACAAUGUUCUUAUGUGGUUAAACAGUUUGAUAUUAUUUUACUUGCUGAGAUGUGUCAUCUCACUCUUGCAUUACUCAAUGCAGGUACUUGAUACAUGUUGGGAUUGAGGGGAGUAGCAGCACGUCCACUUUCACUCUCACAAUAGCGCUGCCGAGGUGCAGCCAUGAUUUAAUUAGAAAUUUAUUGUCAAAGGAAGUUUGUUUUUUUACUAGUCGUGCGCACUAGUUAAUUCAGUUCAUGUCGUAUGUUUAACUUCU
RNAcentral lists this long non-coding RNA (1836 nucleotides) under Zea mays. Its description in RNAcentral is "long non-coding RNA (ZMAY_LNC004421)". Lineage: Eukaryota; Viridiplantae; Streptophyta; Magnoliopsida; Poales; Poaceae. The record is from RNAcentral.